UUCCAGACUCCUACGGGAGGCAGCAGUGGGGAAUAUUGCACAAUGGGGGAAACCCUGAUGCAGCGACGCCGCGUGAGUGAAGAAGUAUUUCGGUAUGUAAAGCUCUAUCAGCAGGGAAGAAAAUGACGGUACCUGACUAAGAAGCCCUGGCUAACUACGUGCCAGCAGCCGCGGUAAUACGUAGGGGGCAAGCGUUAUCCGGAUUUACUGGGUGUAAAGGGAGCGUAGACGGCAUGGCAAGUCAGAUGUGAAAGCCCGGGGCUCAACCCCGGGACUGCAUUUGAAACUGUCAGGCUGGAGUGCAGGAGAGGUAAGUGGAAUUCCUAGUGUAGCGGUGAAAUGCGUAGAUAUUAGGAGGAACACCAGUGGCGAAGGCGGCGUACUGGACUGUAACUGACGUUGAGGCUCGAAAGCGUGGGGAGCAAACAGGAUUAGAUACCCCAGUACGU
RNAcentral lists this ribosomal RNA (449 nucleotides) under uncultured bacterium. Its description in RNAcentral is "bacterial SSU rRNA". It matches the Rfam family "Bacterial small subunit ribosomal RNA", at positions 329 to 794 of the family's 1533-position model. The record is from RNAcentral.